This 1298-nucleotide ribosomal RNA is filed under the name metagenome. RNAcentral describes it as "bacterial SSU rRNA". It matches the Rfam family "Archaeal small subunit ribosomal RNA", at positions 139 to 1445 of the family's 1478-position model. The record is from RNAcentral.
UUUGAGGCUAAUACCGGGUAGGAGAAUUAUAUUGGAAUAUUUUUUCUCUUAAAAGUAAUGCCUAAGGAUGAGAUGGCGGCCGAUUAGGUUGUUGGUGGUGUAAUGGACCACCAAGCCAAUGAUUGGUAGGGGCCUUGAGAGAGGUAGCCUCGAGAAGGGCACUGAGAUACUGGCCCUAGCCCCACGGGGUGCAGCAGGCGCGAAACCUUUACAAUGCACGAAAGUGUGAUAGGGGAACCCUAAGUGCUUUACUUACGUAAGGCUUUUUCUAAGGGUAAAGUCCUUAGAGAAUAAGUGGUGGGCAAGACUGGUGCCAGCCGCCGCGGUAACACCAGCGCCACGAGUGGUGGCCGCAUUUAUUGGGCCUAAAGCGUCCGUAGCUUGUAUAUUAAAUCUUUUGUGAAAUCGUUACGCUCAACGUAACGGAGUGCAGGAGAGACUGGUAUGCUUGGGACUGGAAGGAGUCAGAGGUAUUAGUGGGGGAGCGGUAAAAUGUUAUAAUCCCACUAAGACCACCUGUGGCGAAGGCGUCUGACUAGUACAGAUCCGACGGUGAGGGACGAAAGCCAGGGGAGCGAUCCGGAUUAGAUACCCGGGUAGUCCUGGCUGUAAACGCUGCGAGCUAGGUGUUGCAUAUUCCUCGUGAUUAUGCAGUGUCGAAGCGAAGGUAUUAAGCUCGCCGCCUGGGAAGUAUGGUCGCAAGACUGAAACUUAAAGGAAUUGGCGGGGGAGCACCACAAGGGGUGCGGCGUGCGGUUUAAUCCAAUUCAACACGGAGAAUCACACCAGAGGCGACGGUAGGAUGAAGGUCAGUCUAAAGGGCUUACCAGACAAGCCGAGAGGUAGUGCAUGGCCGCCGUCAGCUCGUGCCGUAAGGUGUCCUGUUAAGUCAGGCAACGAGCGAGACCUGUACUUACUAUUGCUAACGGCCAAUUUUUUGGGACUGAGCACAUUGUAAGAACUGCCUUGGAAACAAGGAGGAAGGCGCAGGCAACGGUAGGUCUGUAUGCUCCGAAUCUUCUGGGCUACACGCGCGCAACAAUGGUAAAGACAAUAGGAUGCCACUCCGAAAGGAGAAGCUAACCCCAUAAACUUUAUCUUAGUUCAGAUUGAGGUUUGUAACUCAGCCUCAUGACGUUGGAAUCCCUAGUAAUCAGAUGUUAUCAGCGUCUGGUGAAUAUGUCCCUGCUCCUUGCACACACCGCCCGUCAAACCACCCGAGUCGGGUCUUGAUGAGGCUUAGUUUUCAAUUAAGUCGAAUCAGGGCUCAGCGAGGAGGGUUAAGUCGUCACAAGGUA